ACGCUCGACACCUACGGGGGGCAGCAGUGGGGAAUAUUGCACAAUGGGGGAAACCCUGAUGCAGCGACGCCGCGUGGAGGAAGAAGGUCUUCGGAUUGUAAACUCCUGUUGUUGGGGAAAAAGAGGAUGGUACCCAACAAGGAAGUGACGGCUAACUACGUGCCAGCAGCCCCGGUAAUCUGAGCGGGCUGGCAAGGC
Molecule: ribosomal RNA, 198 nt
Filed under: uncultured bacterium
Lineage: Bacteria
Description: partial 16S ribosomal RNA
Rfam family: Bacterial small subunit ribosomal RNA
Source: RNAcentral